GGGCUUAUAGCUCAGGUGGUUAGAGCGCCACACUGAUAAUGUGGAGGUCCCUGGUUCGAGUCCAGGUAAGCCCA
Molecule: transfer RNA, 74 nt
Filed under: Saprospira sp. SS92-11
Lineage: Bacteria; Pseudomonadati; Bacteroidota; Saprospiria; Saprospirales; Saprospiraceae
Description: tRNA-Ile
Rfam family: tRNA
About the family: Transfer RNA (tRNA) molecules are approximately 80 nucleotides in length. Their secondary structure includes four short double-helical elements and three loops (D, anti-codon, and T loops). Further hydrogen bonds mediate the characteristic L-shaped molecular structure. tRNAs have two regions of fundamental functional importance: the anti-codon, which is responsible for specific mRNA codon recognition, and the 3' end, to which the tRNAs corresponding amino acid is attached (by aminoacyl-tRNA synthetases). tRNAs cope with the degeneracy of the genetic code in two manners: having more than one tRNA (with a specific anti-codon) for a particular amino acid; and 'wobble' base-pairing, i.e. permitting non-standard base-pairing at the 3rd anti-codon position.
Source: RNAcentral